CGCGCUUAAUACAUGCAAGUCGAACGAGAAGCCAGAGCUUGCUCUGGUGGAAAGUGGCGAACGGGUGAGUAACACGUGAGAAACCUGCCCCAAAGAUUGGGAUAAGCCUUGGAAACGAGGUCUAAUACCAAAUACCUUCCUUUUAACACAUGUUAAAAAGAAGAAAUGCUCCGGCGCUUUGGGAUGGUCUCGCGAUCUAUCAGCUUGUUGGUGAGGUAAACGGGCUCACCAAGGCAUCGACGGAUAGCUGGUCUGAGAGGAUGUCCAGCCACAUUGGAACUGAGACACGGUCCAAACUCCUACGGGAGGCAGCAGUAGGGAAUCUUGCACAAUGAGGGAAACCUUGAUGCAGCGACGCCGCGUGCGGGACGAAGGCCCUAGGGUUGUAAACCGCUUUCAGUAGGGACGAAAGUGACGGUACCUACAGAAGAAGCCCCGGCCAACUAUGUG
RNAcentral lists this ribosomal RNA (450 nucleotides) under uncultured bacterium. Its description in RNAcentral is "bacterial SSU rRNA". It matches the Rfam family "Bacterial small subunit ribosomal RNA", at positions 43 to 507 of the family's 1533-position model. The record is from RNAcentral.